AGUGAACGCUGGCGGUAGGCCUAACACAUGCAAGUCGAACGGCAGCACAGUAAGAGCUUGCUCUUACGGGUGGCGAGUGGCGGACGGGUGAGGAAUACAUCGGAAUCUACUUUUUCGUGGGGGAUAACGUAGGGAAACUUACGCUAAUACCGCAUACGACCUACGGGUGAAAGCAGGGGAUCUUCGGACCUUGCGCGAUUGAAUGAGCCGAUGUCGGAUUAGCUAGUUGGCGGGGUAAAGGCCCACCAAGGCGACGAUCCGUAGCUGGUCUGAGAGGAUGAUCAGCCAAACGGGAACUGGGACACGGUCCAAACUCCUACGGGAGGCAGCAGUGGGGAAUAUUGGACAAGGGGGGAAAGCCUGAUCAAGCCAUACCGCGUGGGUGAAGAAGGCCUUCGGGUUGUAAAGCCCUUUUGUUGGGAAAGAAAAGCAGCAGGUUAAUACCCCGCUGUUCUGACGGUACCCAAAGAAUAAGCACCGGCUAACUUCGU
This 491-nucleotide ribosomal RNA is filed under the name uncultured bacterium. Its description in RNAcentral is "partial 16S ribosomal RNA". It matches the Rfam family "Bacterial small subunit ribosomal RNA", at positions 29 to 506 of the family's 1533-position model. The record is from RNAcentral.